UACAGAGGUCCCAAGCGUUGUUCGGAUUCACUGGGGGUAAAGGGUGCGUAGGUGGUCGGGUAAGUCUGAUGUGAAAACUCCGAGCUCAACUCGGAAACUGCAUCGGAUACUAUUUGGCUAGAGGGUUGGAGGGGGGACUGGAAUACUUGGUGUAGCAGUGAAAUGCGUAGAUAUCAAGUGGAACACCAGUGGCGAAGGCGAGUCCCUGGACAACUCCUGACACUGAGGCACGAAAGCUCGGGGAGCAAACAGG
Molecule: ribosomal RNA, 253 nt
Filed under: uncultured bacterium
Lineage: Bacteria
Description: partial 16S ribosomal RNA
Rfam family: Bacterial small subunit ribosomal RNA
Source: RNAcentral